GUCGUGAGAUGUUGGGUUAAGUCCCGCAACGAGCGCAACCCUUGCCAUUAGUUGCUACAUUCAGUUGAGCACUCUAAUGGGACUGCCGGUGACAAACCGGAGGAAGGUGGGGAUGACGUCAAGUCCUCAUGGCCCUUAUGGGUAGGGCUACACACGUCAUACAAUGGCGCGCACAGAGGGUAGCCAACCCGCGAGGGGGAGCCAAUCUCAGAAAACGCGUCGUAGUCCGGAUUGGAGUCUGCAACUCGACUCCAUGAAGUCGGAAUCGCUAGUAAUCGCGGAUCAGCAUGUCGCGGUGAAUACGUUCCCGGGCCUUGUACACACCGCCCGUCACACCAUGGGAGUGGGGUUCACCAGAAGCAGGUGGCCUAACCGCAAGGAAGGCGCCUACCACGGUGAGCUUCAUGACUGGGGUGAAGUCGUAACAAGGUAGCCGUAUCGGAAGGUGCGGCUGGAUCACCUCCUUUCUAGAGCAACGCCAGAAGUUCUCGCGUCCGCACCUAUCGGCUGUGGCAUAAGCAGCGGGGGUCUGUAGCUCAGUUGGUUAGAGCACACGCUUGAUAAGCGUGGGGUCGAUGGUUCAAAUCCAUCCAGACCCACCAACCGACCAGCGCAGCGCCGUCGAACACGGGGCCAUAGCUCAGCUGGGAGAGCGCCUGCUUUGCAAGCAGGAGGUCACCGGUUCGAUCCCGGUUGGCUCCACCAGCAUCGGUGGUCAACUUUCCUCGAAAUCUAUCGCGAAGCGCGUACCGGCCUGGUCCGGCGCGGGUUUCGCCGUAGGUUUUAUUCGGUUGCUCUUUAAAAAUUCGGAAGAAGUGAAGAGAGUUCGAUUCGUUGCUCUUUUAGCGGAUCGAGCUCGCUGGGUAUGAGAUUGCAUUAAGAGUUGCUGUGUCGGGGCUUUGUCGGCCCUGAUGCGGCCAAGCGCUCCUAUGAUCCGGGGUUCGACCGCUAAGCAACGCGGGCAGCGCUCAGGGUUAUAGGGUCAAGUGAAUAAGUGCACGUGGUGGAUGCCUUGGCGACGACAGGCGAUGAAGGACGUGGUUACCUGCGAAAAGCCUCGGGGAGCUGGAAUCGAGCUUUGAUCCGAGGAUGU
RNAcentral lists this small RNA (1093 nucleotides) under uncultured beta proteobacterium. RNAcentral's name for it is "bacterial SSU rRNA". The stretch from base 1 to 467 matches the Rfam family "Bacterial small subunit ribosomal RNA", at positions 1064 to 1533 of the family's 1533-position model. Lineage: Bacteria; Pseudomonadati; Pseudomonadota; Betaproteobacteria. The record is from RNAcentral.